RNAcentral lists this ribosomal RNA (263 nucleotides) under uncultured bacterium. RNAcentral describes it as "partial 16S ribosomal RNA". It matches the Rfam family "Bacterial small subunit ribosomal RNA", at positions 793 to 1055 of the family's 1533-position model. The record is from RNAcentral.
GUCCACGCCUUAAACUAUGAAUACUAAGUGUCGGCGGUUUACUGCCGGUGCCGCAGCUAACGCAUUAAGUAUUCCGCCUGGGAAGUACGGCCGCAAGGUUGAAACUCAAAGGAAUUGACUGGGGCCCGCACAAGCGGUGGAGCAUGUGGUUUAAUUCGACGCAACGCGAAGAACCUUACCCAGGCUGGACAUGCAGGUAGUAGAAGGGUGAAAGCCCAACGAGGUAGCAAUACCAUCCUGCUCAGGUGCUGCAUGGCUGUCGU